Long non-coding RNA from Triplophysa rosa, 406 nucleotides. RefSeq lists it as uncharacterized. Lineage: Eukaryota; Metazoa; Chordata; Actinopteri; Cypriniformes; Nemacheilidae. The transcript has 3 exons. The record is from RefSeq and is a predicted model, not a curated record.
GUCAGAGUGCAGAUGUUAAUUCAGGGCCUGAGUUCCAGGUAUGACAGAAAUAAGAAAAUACUUGUACCUGCCCUGUACAAUCAACCAAAAUCAUCCUAAAGGUGAAGAAAAAGUGGUCUGUGGCGGAGGAGACAGAUGCAUGUUUCUAGCAGGAUAAAGAUAUGUCAUAGGCAGGCAGUGGUUUUCAGCCCCCACAAACCGGCCUGGAACCUGCCACACAAAGUCAGGCAACCUCGAGCUGUGACCCAGUGAGCGUCUUCCACCCCAUCGAACAUCGCAGACCGCACAAAUAACAAAAAACAUCAAAGCAUGCAUGUUUUAUGUUUUCAUUGAAAUGCAUCACCUUGCAAAUAGGUAAACUUACCCAUUGCUUGUAACUGAUUAUUGUAAGUUUUUAAAUGUUUUA